UGGGAGUGGUCAAUGCUUGAAGUCCGUGGGCUGACCUGUUCGCAAGGAUGGGAGGCAGCGGCCGAGGGCAGGGGCCGCGACUGGGACG
This 88-nucleotide ribosomal RNA is filed under the name uncultured bacterium. Its description in RNAcentral is "partial 16S ribosomal RNA". The record is from RNAcentral.